GGAAUAUUGGACAAUGGGCGAAAGCCUGAUCCAGCGACGCCGCGUGUGUGAAGAAGGCCUGCGGGUUGUAAAGCACUUUCGAUGGGAACGAAAUGUGCCGGGCUAAUACCCCGGCAAGCUGACGUUACUCAAUGAAGAAGCACCGGCUAACUCUGUGCCAGCACCCGCGGUAAUACAGAGGGUGCGAGCGUUAAUCGGAAUUACUGGGCGUAAAGCGCGCGUAGGUGGUUUGUUAAGUUGGAUGUGAAAGCCCCGGGCUCAACCUGGGAACUGCAUCCAAAACUGGCAAGCUAGAGUACGGUAGAGGGUGGUGGAGUUUCCUGUGUAGCGGUGAAAUGCGUAGAUAUAGGAAGGAACACCAGUGGCGAAGGCGACCACCUGGACUGAUACUGACACUGAGGUGCGAAAGCGUGGGGAGCAAAC
This 423-nucleotide ribosomal RNA is filed under the name uncultured bacterium. RNAcentral describes it as "bacterial SSU rRNA". It matches the Rfam family "Bacterial small subunit ribosomal RNA", at positions 358 to 773 of the family's 1533-position model. The record is from RNAcentral.